RNAcentral lists this long non-coding RNA (201 nucleotides) under Elaeis guineensis (African oil palm). RNAcentral's name for it is "long non-coding RNA (EGUI_LNC042604)". The record is from RNAcentral. Lineage: Eukaryota; Viridiplantae; Streptophyta; Magnoliopsida; Arecales; Arecaceae.
GAUAAUAUUUAUCAUUUUAUAAUUCAUAUAUAUAUAUGGAGCACAAUCAUCUAUAAUUUAGAUGAUUGGUUUUAGGACACAAUUGCCAACAGCUUGAGGGGUUGCAGAACGAUGCUUCCAAGAGAAAAAAUUCAAAAAUUGCCCUUAGACCCAUCUAGAUCUAUCAUGUGGACAGUCAUGGUAAGUUAUGAGGCAUGCUUU